CCUACGGGAGGCAGCAGUGAGGAAUAUUGGUCAAUGGGCGAGAGCCUGAACCAGCCAAGUCGCGUGAGGGAGUACUGCCCUAUGGGUUGUAAACCUCUUUUGUCGGGGAGCAAAAGCCGGACGUGUCCGGCUGUGAGAGUACCCGAAGAAAAAGCAUCGGCUAACUCCGUGCCAGCAGCCGCGGUCAUACGGAGGAUGCGAGCGUUAUCCGGAUUUAUUGGGUUUAAAGGGUGCGCAGGCGGAUUUUUAAGUCAGCGGUAAAAUCGUGGGGCUCAACCCCAUCCAGCCGUUGAAACUGGGGAUCUAGAGUGUGCGAGAGGUAUGCGGAAUGCGGGGUGUAGCGGUGAAAUGCAUAGAUAUCACGCAGAACCCCGAUGGCGAAGGCAGCAUACCGGUGCACAACUGACGCUCAGGCACGAAAGCGUGGGUAUCGAACAGGAUUAGAUACCCCGGUAGUC
RNAcentral lists this ribosomal RNA (458 nucleotides) under uncultured bacterium. RNAcentral's name for it is "partial 16S ribosomal RNA". It matches the Rfam family "Bacterial small subunit ribosomal RNA", at positions 338 to 795 of the family's 1533-position model. The record is from RNAcentral.